UUGAUCCUGGCUCAGAUUGUAUCGCUGGCGGCAUGCCCUUACUCAUGGCAAGUCGAAUCGGCAGGCACCGGGGGCAAUCCCUGGUGGCGAGUGGCGAACGGGUGAGUAAUACAUCGGAAUCGUGUCCUGUAGUGGGGGAUAGCCCGGCGAAAGCCGGAUUAAUACCGCAUACGAUCCUACGGAAGAAAGCGGGGGAUCCGACAAGAGCCUCCGCGCUAUAGGGGCGGCCGAUGGCAGAUUAGCUAGUUGGUGGGGUAAAGGCCUACCAAGGCGACGAUCCUGUAGCUGGUCCUGAGAGGACGACCAGCCACACUGGGACUGAGUACACGGCCCAGAUCCCUUACGGGAGGCAGCAGUGGGGAAUUUUGGACAAUGGGGGAAACCCUGAUCCAGCAAUGCCGCGUGUGUGAAGAAGGCCUUCGGGUUGUAAAGCACUUUUGUCCGGAAAGAAAACUUCUGCCCUAAUACGGUGGGAGGAUGACGGUACCGGAAGAAUAAGCACCG
Molecule: ribosomal RNA, 504 nt
Filed under: Burkholderia sp. HPML104
Lineage: Bacteria; Pseudomonadati; Pseudomonadota; Betaproteobacteria; Burkholderiales; Burkholderiaceae
Description: bacterial SSU rRNA
Rfam family: Bacterial small subunit ribosomal RNA
Source: RNAcentral